Molecule: long non-coding RNA, 1850 nt
Organism: Neodiprion fabricii
Lineage: Eukaryota; Metazoa; Arthropoda; Insecta; Hymenoptera; Diprionidae
Exons: 2
Source: RefSeq, a predicted model, not a curated record
UAUAAAGAGCCUACCUCCACUUCAUUGACACCUGUGAAUUAAUUUCAUUGCUAAAACUACCUUCUUCAAUAACCUUUUAACACAAUGACAUACUGACUGUGAAGAAACAUAGUUCUUUAAUCUUUUUGAUUAAUGACUACCAACUUUUAACUCCCACAUAUAAAAUAACUUGAAGAUUGACAUAGUCUACCGUCACUCAAAAGAAUACUGUUUCCACCAAUUGUAAUUGUGAAUUCGACUACAUCUUAGUCCACAUUCAAAAGCACGAAAUCGACAAUCUCAACGAUCCAGAGUUUAAGAAAAACGCGAAUUGGCUGCAAAUGCUGACGGCGUUGAUCGAGGAUCACCAGGAUUACGAGGGCAAGGAAGCGAAGGUUCAGUUGAACGAAUGGAUGCGAGAAAGGGAUAAUCUACGCAACGAUAUCAAACGCGUAUUCAACCAACAGUUUGGUUCAGUCUUUAGGACGUACCAUAAUCCGACCUACUUUUCUAGGCGUCUCUUUCGCUUCGCGGACAUCUACAUGAGCAACAUUACCAACCUCUUAAACUAUUCGACCACUCACACCUUUUACCCGAGGAGAGGAGUCAUGCCCCAUGAAUACACUAACUAUUUCGUAUAAACCGUGCGCAAACCGAGCCAAAACCAUCAUGCGGUAUAAAAUAUGCGUUACGAAAUUGAUCUCGAAAUAUUUGGGACGAACGCAUCGUAUUUUAUUCUUUCCCAAAAAAAGAAAAAAAAAGAUAAUCAAAAUUCAAACGUAUUGAGAAAACAGAAAGAAAAUAAGCAUCUUAGUUUCCUUCCUUUCAGAUUACAAUUUAAGAUCGACCUCACACUAUUAAUACGCUUAAAUUUAUCCGUAAGAAGUUGACGAAAUUUAAUAGUUUUUACAAAUACAAUUUUCCUUAAUUGUAGUUUAUUUUUCCCCAGUAGUAGAAACGUUGCGUGAAAUUCAAAUCCUGUGGGGAAAUUCAAUAGCUUAUUUUGUAGCGCUACAGUUUGUUCAAGUUUAUCGAUAGAAAUACCUAGGAAUGUCAAGAUUUACUUUUACGUUGAAAAUGUUGCCAAAGCUUAAGUUGAGUUAUAGCUUAUUAUGAUUAAGAACUAAUUGAAUGAUCGAUCGAUUUAUAUAAUAAGUUGACGCUACGUUUGUCUGAAACGAAUCGUACUCUUAUCGUUGGACGUUUGCAAGUACAAAUAGAUAUGUAAUGCCCCCGAGUAACAUCGGGAUAUCUCAAUCAAUCUGAUCGAAUAGAUAAUUACAAUUGAUAGAUAUAAACGUACGAGUAUUAGCAAUGAUCGGAUAAAAUAUUCGUCAGAUAUUAAUUUAUUUAGCUAGAAUUUACCAUGGGUAAUAAAAAAUGAUAAAAAUUUUAUUUGUGAUGCGCGAAGUGAACGAUGUUUCCGGAUAUUAACUGAAAUCGCAGUAUCUGAUUUUCGAUUUAUUCAUAAAAAAGUAACAUUACACACGUAUUGUAAUUACAAAUGAAGGCACGCGAAGUUAAGGAUAAUAACUUGGAGUUCCAGACAUUUUUCUAUCGGUUGUCAGACUAUUACCGGUUUCUAGAGUCUGUUGACAUCUUGUCAUUAUUACAUCAAUGCCAAAAUUUGAGUUUAGUAAUAAUUAUGAACAAUAUGAAAUUAAAAAAUUACAAUACUGCGUUCUUUUCCGUGUCUCCAUAUCAUCAUUUGGCUUGAAUAGUUGCGUAUCUCAUGCCAAAUUUCAAACGUAAGAUAACCGUUACUCGUAGAUACUUAAAAAAUGUUGAAACGAGUCAUUAUGCAUGUUACAUACGUACUAUAAGAAAAAUUACGACAUACCUAAUCGAAUACAAAAUGUGUUUGUGUGCAA